This 73-nucleotide transfer RNA is filed under the name Diplectrum formosum (sand perch). Its description in RNAcentral is "tRNA-Gln". Lineage: Eukaryota; Metazoa; Chordata; Actinopteri; Perciformes; Serranidae. RNAcentral also lists the same sequence under 7 other names. The record is from RNAcentral.
UAGGAAGUAGUGUAGCGCGGAUGCACUAAGAGUCUUGGCCUCUUCAGGUUGGGUUCAAACCCCAUCUUCCUAU